Molecule: long non-coding RNA, 101 nt
Organism: Lynx canadensis (Canada lynx)
Lineage: Eukaryota; Metazoa; Chordata; Mammalia; Carnivora; Felidae
Exons: 3
Source: RefSeq, a predicted model, not a curated record
CCACUUCAGGCAAGGAGAAACUCUGCAGAGGACUGGUCUGAAGUAAAGAGCAGGUAAAACACAACAGCAUAGUGUACACAGCAUACACCAGAACCACUCCC